Molecule: unclassified non-coding RNA, 330 nt
Filed under: soil metagenome
Description: partial contains 5.8S ribosomal RNA, internal transcribed spacer 2, and large subunit ribosomal RNA
Rfam family: 5.8S ribosomal RNA (bases 1-121)
Source: RNAcentral
GAUGAAGAACGUAGCGAAAUGCGAUAAGUAAUGCGAAUUGCAGAAUUUCCGUGAAUCAUCGAAUCUUUGAACGCACAUUGCGCCCCCUGGUAUUCCGGGGGGCAUGCCUGUCCGAGCGUCAUUACAACCCUCAAGCUCAGCUUGGUAUUGGGCCCCGCCGCUCCGGCGGGCCCUAAAGUCAGUGGCGGUGCCGUCCGGCUCCGAGCGUAGUAAUUCUUCUCGCUCUGGAGGUCCGGUCGUGUGCUCGCCAGCAACCCCCAAUUUUUUUCAGGUUGACCUCGGAUCAGGUAGGGAUACCCGCUGAACUUAAGCAUAUCAAUAAGCGGAGGA